CGGCCGCAUCAUGUUGAAACAUGGGUUACCGUACAAUCACAGAAGUUAAGCAAUGUUGAGCCUGUCUAGUUCCUUCAUGGGUGACCACUUGGGAAUACCAGGUGCU
Acanthosepion pharaonis is the source of this 106-nucleotide non-coding RNA. Lineage: Eukaryota; Metazoa; Mollusca; Cephalopoda; Sepiida; Sepiidae. The record is from the annotation of a GenBank genome assembly.